UGGAAAUUGAGGACUCAGACUUUGCCUCCCUCUAGCCUCUCCCUUCCACUUUCAGUUAGAUUUCAGAUGGUGUCCAACUGAGAUUCAGAAAUGAAUUCUUCUUAUGAUAUCAAGCUUGGUGUUUGGAAAGAGCAGCCUGAACUUAGAAUAUAGAUAAUAGUCACUUGACUGGCAGAAAUGCAAACAUCAUCUCUCUAUCCAGGACAACACAAAAGCCUUUCUACAAUUCAUACUUCUGGGAAGUAAAAUCUUCAGGUUUUUGAUAA
Monodelphis domestica (gray short-tailed opossum) is the source of this 266-nucleotide long non-coding RNA. RefSeq lists it as uncharacterized. NCBI's taxonomy places the organism in Eukaryota, Metazoa, Chordata, Mammalia, Didelphimorphia, Didelphidae. The record is from RefSeq and is a predicted model, not a curated record.